RNAcentral lists this ribosomal RNA (2906 nucleotides) under Escherichia coli P0298942.1. RNAcentral's name for it is "bacterial LSU rRNA". It matches the Rfam family "Bacterial large subunit ribosomal RNA". The record is from RNAcentral. Lineage: Bacteria; Pseudomonadati; Pseudomonadota; Gammaproteobacteria; Enterobacterales; Enterobacteriaceae.
UUAAGCGACUAAGCGUACACGGUGGAUGCCCUGGCAGUCAGAGGCGAUGAAGGACGUGCUAAUCUGCGAUAAGCGUCGGUAAGGUGAUAUGAACCGUUAUAACCGGCGAUUUCCGAAUGGGGAAACCCAGUGUGUUUCGACACACUAUCAUUAACUGAAUCCAUAGGUUAAUGAGGCGAACCGGGGGAACUGAAACAUCUAAGUACCCCGAGGAAAAGAAAUCAACCGAGAUUCCCCCAGUAGCGGCGAGCGAACGGGGAGCAGCCCAGAGCCUGAAUCAGUGUGUGUGUUAGUGGAAGCGUCUGGAAAGGCGCGCGAUACAGGGUGACAGCCCCGUACACAAAAAUGCACAUGCUGUGAGCUCGAUGAGUAGGGCGGGACACGUGGUAUCCUGUCUGAAUAUGGGGGGACCAUCCUCCAAGGCUAAAUACUCCUGACUGACCGAUAGUGAACCAGUACCGUGAGGGAAAGGCGAAAAGAACCCCGGCGAGGGGAGUGAAAAAGAACCUGAAACCGUGUACGUACAAGCAGUGGGAGCACGCUUCGGCGUGUGACUGCGUACCUUUUGUAUAAUGGGUCAGCGACUUAUAUUCUGUAGCAAGGUUAACCGAAUAGGGGAGCCGAAGGGAAACCGAGUCUUAACUGGGCGUUAAGUUGCAGGGUAUAGACCCGAAACCCGGUGAUCUAGCCAUGGGCAGGUUGAAGGUUGGGUAACACUAACUGGAGGACCGAACCGACUAAUGUUGAAAAAUUAGCGGAUGACUUGUGGCUGGGGGUGAAAGGCCAAUCAAACCGGGAGAUAGCUGGUUCUCCCCGAAAGCUAUUUAGGUAGCGCCUCGUGAAUUCAUCUCCGGGGGUAGAGCACUGUUUCGGCAAGGGGGUCAUCCCGAUUACCAACCCGAUGCAAACUGCGAAUACCGGAGAAUGUUAUCACGGGAGACACACGGCGGGUGCUAACGUCCGUCGUGAAGAGGGAAACAACCCAGACCGCCAGCUAAGGUCCCAAAGUCAUGGUUAAGUGGGAAACGAUGUGGGAAGGCCCAGACAGCCAGGAUGUUGGCUUAGAAGCAGCCAUCAUUUAAAGAAAGCGUAAUAGCUCACUGGUCGAGUCGGCCUGCGCGGAAGAUGUAACGGGGCUAAACCAUGCACCGAAGCUGCGGCAGCGACGCUUAUGCGUUGUUGGGUAGGGGAGCGUUCUGUAAGCCUGUGAAGGUGUGCUGUGAGGCAUGCUGGAGGUAUCAGAAGUGCGAAUGCUGACAUAAGUAACGAUAAAGCGGGUGAAAAGCCCGCUCGCCGGAAGACCAAGGGUUCCUGUCCAACGUUAAUCGGGGCAGGGUGAGUCGACCCCUAAGGCGAGGCCGAAAGGCGUAGUCGAUGGGAAACAGGUUAAUAUUCCUGUACUUGGUGUUACUGCGAAGGGGGGACGGAGAAGGCUAUGUUGGCCGGGCGACGGUUGUCCCGGUUUAAGCGUGUAGGCUGGUUUUCCAGGCAAAUCCGGAAAAUCAAGGCUGAGGCGUGAUGACGAGGCACUACGGUGCUGAAGCAACAAAUGCCCUCGACUUCCACGGAAAAGCCUCUAAGCAUCAGGUAACAUCAAAUCGUACCCCAAACCGACACAGGUGGUCAGGUAGAGAAUACCAAGGCGCUUGAGAGAACUCGGGUGAAGGAACUAGGCAAAAUGGUGCCGUAACUUCGGGAGAAGGCACGCUGAUAUGUAGGUGAAGUCCCUCGCGGAUGGAGCUGAAAUCAGUCGAAGAUACCAGCUGGCUAGCAACUGUUUAUUAAAAACACAGCACUGUGCAAACACGAAAGUGGACGUAUACGGUGUGACGCCUGCCCGGUGCCGGAAGGUUAAUUGAUGGGGUUAGCGGUAACGCGAAGCUCUUGAUCGAAGCCCCGGUAAACGGCGGCCGUAACUAUAACGGUCCUAAGGUAGCGAAAUUCCUUGUCGGGUAAGUUCCGACCUGCACGAAUGGCGUAAUGAUGGCCAGGCUGUCUCCACCCGAGACUCAGUGAAAUUGAACUCGCUGUGAAGAUGCAGUGUACCCGCGGCAAGACGGAAAGACCCCGUGAACCUUUACUAUAGCUUGACACUGAACAUUGAGCCUUGAUGUGUAGGAUAGGUGGGAGGCUUUGAAGUGUGGACGCCAGUCUGCAUGGAGCCGACCUUGAAAUACCACCCUUUAAUGUUUGAUGUUCUAACGUUGACCCGUAAUCCGGGUUGCGGACAGUGUCUGGUGGGUAGUUUGACUGGGGCGGUCUCCUCCUAAAGAGUAACGGAGGAGCACGAAGGUUGGCUAAUCCUGGUCGGACAUCAGAGGUUAGUGCAAUGGCAUAAGCCAGCUUGACUGCGAGCGUGACGGCGCGAGCAGGUGCGAAAGCAGGUCAUAGUGAUCCGGUGGUUCUGAAUGGAAGGGCCAUCGCUCAACGGAUAAAAGGUACUCCGGGGAUAACAGGCUGAUACCGCCCAAGAGUUCAUAUCGACGGCGGUGUUUGGCACCUCGAUGUCGGCUCAUCACAUCCUGGGGCUGAAGUAGGUCCCAAGGGUAUGGCUGUUCGCCAUUUAAAGUGGUACGCGAGCUGGGUUUAGAACGUCGUGAGACAGUUCGGUCCCUAUCUGCCGUGGGCGCUGGAGAACUGAGGGGGGCUGCUCCUAGUACGAGAGGACCGGAGUGGACGCAUCACUGGUGUUCGGGUUGUCAUGCCAAUGGCACUGCCCGGUAGCUAAAUGCGGAAGAGAUAAGUGCUGAAAGCAUCUAAGCACGAAACUUGCCCCGAGAUGAGUUCUCCCUGACUCCUUGAGAGUCCUGAAGGAACGUUGAAGACGACGACGUUGAUAGGCCGGGUGUGUAAGCGCAGCGAUGCGUUGAGCUAACCGGUACUAAUGAACCGUGAGGCUUAACCUU